CCUACGGGUGGCUGCAGUGGGGAAUUUUGGACAAUGGGGGCAACCCUGAUCCAGCCAUGCCGCGUGAGGGAAGAAGGCCUUCGGGUUGUAAACCGCUUUCGGACGGAAAGAAAUCGCACGGACUAAUACCCUGUGUGGAUGACGGUACCUUAAGAAGAAGCACCGGCUAACUACGUGCCAGCAGCCGCGGUAAUACGUAGGGUGCUAGCGUUAAUCGGAAUUACUCGGCGUAAAUCGUAAGCCGGCGGUUAAAUCCCCGGGCUUAACCUGGGAACUGCGUUUGGAACUGGGAGACUAGAGUGUGUCAGAGGGAGGUGGAAUUCCGCGUGUAGCAGUGAAAUGCGUAGAUAUGCGGAGGAACACCGAUGGCGAAGGCAGCCUCCUGGGAUAACACUGACGCUCAUGCACGAAAGCGUGGGGAGCAAACAGGAUUAGAUACCCGUGUAGUC
RNAcentral lists this ribosomal RNA (449 nucleotides) under uncultured bacterium. RNAcentral's name for it is "partial 16S ribosomal RNA". It matches the Rfam family "Bacterial small subunit ribosomal RNA", at positions 338 to 795 of the family's 1533-position model. The record is from RNAcentral.